UUUCUAUCCAAUAAUACAGAUCAAGUGUGCAUAGUGAUUCUAUUUUGUUUUUUAUUUUUCUUUAUUUACUUUUUCUUUUCUUUUUCUGUUCCAUUUCCAUCCAAUAAUGCUGAUAAAGUUUAAACUAUAAUAAAUAGAUAGAAAUUUGCACUGAACAACGUAUUAAAACAAAGAGGACACUGUAUUAAAAGGACGCAACAACAAUCAACUCCUAUUACGAAAGAAAAGGAUGAAAACAUAAAAACACAGAACUUAGCUACUCACGACGCAAACAUAUGGAAAAUCCUAAAAGAAAGAGAAAAAAGAUGACAGCAAAAGGAAGGAUGAAAUAAAAAAAGAAGAAAGAAGGAAGAAAAAAGAUAAAGUCUAGUUUUUGCGGUCAAAGGUGUCUUCGAUCGGAUCUUCAUCGGUU
Molecule: long non-coding RNA, 412 nt
Filed under: Ananas comosus (pineapple)
Lineage: Eukaryota; Viridiplantae; Streptophyta; Magnoliopsida; Poales; Bromeliaceae
Description: long non-coding RNA (ACOM_LNC030574)
Source: RNAcentral